AUUGAACGCUGGCGGCAGGCCUAACACAUGCAAGUCGAGCGGAUGAAGGGAGCUUGCUCCUGGAUUCAGCGGCGGACGGGUGAGUAAUGCCUAGGAAUCUGCCUGGUAGUGGGGGAUAACGUCCGGAAACGGGCGCUAAUACCGCAUACGUCCUGAGGGAGAAAGUGGGGGAUCUUCGGACCUCACGCUAUCAGAUGAGCCUAGGUCGGAUUAGCUAGUUGGUGGGGUAAAGGCCUACCAAGGCGACGAUCCGUAACUGGUCGGAGAGGAGGAUAAGUCACACGGGAAGUGAGAGGGGGACAAGAGGAAUGAGGGAGGCAGCAGUGGGGAGUAGUGGAAAAUGGGGGAGAAAAUGAUACAACCGUGGAGAGUGUGUGAAGGAGAUCUUGGGAUUGGAAUGCAGUUUAAGGUGUGAGAAAGGGCAUUACGUUGAUACCAUGCUGGUUUGACGUUACCAACAGAAUAAGCACCGGCUAACUUCGUG
Molecule: ribosomal RNA, 484 nt
Filed under: uncultured bacterium
Lineage: Bacteria
Description: partial 16S ribosomal RNA
Rfam family: Bacterial small subunit ribosomal RNA
Source: RNAcentral